GGUCAGGCAUUAGGGAUGGAGGUGUGGUCAGGCACUAGGGAUGGAGGUGUGGUCAGGCACUAGGGAUGGAGGUGUGGUCAGGCACUAGGGAUGGAGGUGUGGUCAGGCAUUAGGGAUGGAGGUGUGGUCAGGCACUAGGGAUGGAGGUGUGGUCAGGCACUAGGGAUGGAGGUGUGGUCAGGCACUAGGGAUGGAGGUGUGGUCAGGCAUUAGGGAUGGAGGUGUGGUCAGGCACUAGGGAUGGAGGUGUGGUCAGGCACUAGGGAUGGAGGUGUGGUCAGGCACUAGGGAUGGAGGUGUGGUCAGGCACUAGGGAUGGAGGUGUGGUCAGGCACUAGGGAUGGAGGUGUGGUCAGGUAUGAUGGAUGGAGGUGUGGUCAGGCACUAGGGAUGGAGGUGUGGUCAGGCACUAGGGAUGGAGGUGUGGUCGGGUAUUAUGGAUGGAGGUGUGGUCAGGUAUUAUGGAUGGAGGUGUGGUCAGGCAUUAGGGAUGGAGGUGUGGUCAGGCAUUAGGGAUGGAGGUGUGGUCAGGCAUUAGGGAUGGAGGUGUGGUCAGGCACUAGGGAUGGAGGUGUGGUCAGGCACUAGGGAUGGAGGUGUGGUCAGGCACUAGGGAUGGAGGUGUGGUCAGGCACUAGGGAUAGAGGUGUGGUCAGGCACUAGGGAUGGAGGUGUGGUCAGGCACUAGGGAUGGAGGUGUGGUCAGGUAUGAUGGAUGGAGGUGUGGUCAGGUAUUAUGGAUGGAGGUGUGGUCAGGUAUUAUGGAUGGAGGUGUGGUCAGGCAUUAGGGAUGGAGGUGUGGUCAGGCACUAGGGAUGGAGGUGUGGUCAGGCAUUAGGGAUGGAGGUGUGGUCAGGCACUAGGGAUGGAGGUGUGGUCAGGCACUAGGGAUGGAGGUGUGGUCAGGCACUAGGGAUGGAGGUGUGGUCAGGCACUAGGGAUGGAGGUGUGGUCAGGCACUAGGGAUAGAGGUGUGGUCAGGCACUAGGGAUAGAGGUGUGGUCAGGCACUAGGGAUAGAGGUGUGGUCAGGCACUAGGGAUGGAGGUGUGGUCAGGCACUAGGGAUGGAGGUGUGGUCAGGCACUAGGGAUGGAGGUGUGGUCAGGUAUGAUGGAUGGGGGUGUGGUCAGGCACUAGGGAUGGAGGUGUGGUCAGGCACUAGGGAUGGAGGUGUGGUCGGGUAUUAUGGAUGGAGGUGUGGUCAGGUAUUAUGGAUGGAGGUGUGGUCAGGUAUUAUGGAUGGAGGUGUGGUCAGGUAUUAUGGAUGGAGGUGUGGUCAGGUAUUAUGGAUGGAGGUGUGGUCAGGCAUUAUGGAUGGAGGUGUGGUCAGGCAUUAGGGAUGGAGGUGUGGUCAGGCAUUAGGGAUGGAGGUGUGGUCAGGCAUUAGGGAUGGAGGUGUGGUCAGGCACUAGGGAUGGAGGUGUGGUCAGGUAUUAUGGAUGGAGGUGUGGUCAGGUAUGAUGGAUGGAGGUGUGGUCAGGUAUUAUGGAUGGAGGUGUGGUCAGGUAUUAUGGAUGGAGGUGUGGUCAGGCAUUAGGGAUGGAGGUGUGGUCAGGCAUUAGGGAUGGAGGUGUGGUCAGGCACUAGGGAUGGAGGUGUGGUCAGGCAUUAGGGAUGGAGGUGUGGUCAGGCACUAGGGAUGGAGGUGUGGUCAGGCACUAGGGAUGGAGGUGUGGUCAGGCACUAGGGAUGGAGGUGUGGUCAGGCACUAGGGAUAGAGGUGUGGUCAGGCACUAGGGAUAGAGGUGUGGUCAGGCACUAGGGAUAGAGGUGUGGUCAGGCACUAGGGAUGGAGGUGUGGUCAGGCACUAGGGAUGGAGGUGUGGUCAGGCACUAGGGAUGGAGGUGUGGUCAGGCACUAGGGAUGGAGGUGUGGUCAGGUAUUAUGGAUGGAGGUGUGGUCAGGCACUAGGGAUGGAGGUGUGGUCAGGCACUAGGGAUGGAGGUGUGGUCAGGCACUAGGGAUGGAGGUGUGGUCAGGUAUUAUGGAUGGAGGUGUGGUCAGGCACUAGGGAUGGAGGUGUGGUCAGGUAUUAUGGAUGGAGGUGUGGUCAGGCACUAGGGAUGGAGGUGUGGUCAGGCAUUAGGGAUGGAGGUGUGGUCAGGCACUAGGGAUGGAGGUGUGGUCAGGCACUAGGGAUGGAGGUGUGGUCAGGCACUAGGGAUGGAGGUGUGGUCAGGCACUAGGGAUGGAGGUGUGGUCAGGCACUAGGGAUGGGUUCAGGUCAGAGGAGAUGUUGUCAUUGUUUGUGUGUGUAAGUAAGUGAUUGUUUGUAUCUGGAGUAAAACUUUAUUUUGUAUUUUUUUAAGUUGGUCAGGUAAGUGAAUAAAAAGGCAGGAUUUGGACAAAUCUCUUAGGAAGCAACAGCGAUAUUGCCCUCAUCAAAUAUGCAGACGACAUUGGCUCUGGUUGCUUGCCUGGAGGUCAAGUCCAUCUCCAGAUACUCCCAGUUCAUUGACUGCCUCUUGACGUGGUUUGACAGUAGCUUUCUUGACCUUAAUGUCGCCAAGACUAAAAAACUGUACCUUGGAGGAAAGAACGCUGGGAAAUGGAAUUCCAUGUCUGGAGCCUGUCACCAUGGAAGGACGUGGAGCAAGUCACACACAUUAAAUACUUGGGGACAAUUUUCGACCACAAACUUAGCUUCCAGUAAAACACUGACCUCCUCUACAAAAAGUCCAGGCAGCUUAUUUCCCUACUUAAGAAACAAUUAAGUUUUAAUGCAAGCAAACACGCUGAUCAUGGUGUACAA
Molecule: long non-coding RNA, 2754 nt
Organism: Oncorhynchus keta (chum salmon)
Lineage: Eukaryota; Metazoa; Chordata; Actinopteri; Salmoniformes; Salmonidae
Exons: 7
Source: RefSeq, a predicted model, not a curated record